AGGCUUAGAUCUCAAAUUUAAUUGUUUAGAACUAAUUUAAUUAAGUAAAUUUCAAAAGAUUAAGUUUGUGGGGUGAAAAAUUAGUCGUUGAGUCUUAUAUCUAUUAAUUUGCUUAGUUUUCUUAUUACACCAUGGGUUAAGAGAUCUUUGGUGGGAUUAUAUCAUUAAUAUAGUAUAAAAAUCAUAGGGUUAAAAGUACCCCAUGUUAAUAAAAUUGUUAAAAAUUUUUGCUAGUAUUAUGCGUUGAUUAAAUUGGAAGGCAAAUUGGUAUUAAUAAUUGGAUCCUAACAUAUCACGGAAUAAGUAAUUAUAUUAUUUUAGGUAUUUCUCGAUCUUUGCUCGUCUGUUUAUUAAAAACAUUGUUAACUUUAAGUUUAGUUAAUAGUACCUGCCCUAUGUAUGCAGAUAUAAAUGGCCGCAGUAUAUUGACUGUGCGAAGGUAGCAUAAUUAAUUGCCCUUUAAUUGGGGGCUUGUUUGAAUGGUUUGACGUAGUAAUUGGUAAUAUCUGAUAUAUCGUUGAAAUUGGUUUGGGUGGU
This 537-nucleotide ribosomal RNA is filed under the name Catenotaenia pusilla. RNAcentral describes it as "partial large subunit ribosomal RNA". The stretch from base 336 to 496 matches the Rfam family "Archaeal large subunit ribosomal RNA", at positions 1884 to 2089 of the family's 2987-position model. The record is from RNAcentral. Lineage: Eukaryota; Metazoa; Platyhelminthes; Cestoda; Cyclophyllidea; Catenotaeniidae.